GUGCGGUGGCUCAGUUGUUAAGAGUAUUGAAUUCUCUUUCAGAGGCCCUGAGUUCAAUUCCCAGCCCUCACA
RNAcentral lists this transfer RNA (72 nucleotides) under Mus musculus (house mouse). It matches the Rfam family "tRNA". Rfam says of the family: Transfer RNA (tRNA) molecules are approximately 80 nucleotides in length. RNAcentral also lists the same sequence under 1 other name. The record is from Rfam by way of RNAcentral. Lineage: Eukaryota; Metazoa; Chordata; Mammalia; Rodentia; Muridae.